Myxocyprinus asiaticus (Chinese sucker) is the source of this 1759-nucleotide long non-coding RNA. RefSeq lists it as uncharacterized. The record is from RefSeq and is a predicted model, not a curated record. The transcript is spliced from 3 exons. Lineage: Eukaryota; Metazoa; Chordata; Actinopteri; Cypriniformes; Catostomidae.
GACUGAAGUUGAAGUUGGACAGGCAUUGUCUCUCCCACAACACUCAAAAGAACGCAAAGCAAUACUGCAAAAACUCAGGAACAAGGACAACUAUCAGCAUAACACCGAUGUUCUUCAGAGGGAGAAGGGACACUUAAGAUCAAUAUGACCAGCGAUUGUGAUGCCAGUGAGGGUGAAAGUGAUCCUGAGGAUGAUGUUCCUACUGGAGCUGCAGGUGUCUCCAGUAAUGUUGGUGUGGGAACUCCCAACCUUCAACUGAACAGCAGAAUACAGCAGUAAUCUUCAAAACAUGGCUGAAGAAAACACACCUCUAUCAGUGGCAAAUGACUAAUAACUAACCACCAUCUUUUACACACUUGCAAUAAAGAAAGAAAUAAAAAAAACACUCUGUACUUCCACUUCAACUCUAGCACUGUAUUACUCUGAUAUGUUGAACUGAAUAUGGUAUGGUAGCAUUAUUUCAAUAGAGCUCUCCCUUGGAUUAAUUGUAUCUGCUUGAAUUAUUCUCAUUUGUAAUUGUCACUUUGGAUAAAAUCACCAGCUAAAAAUGUAAGUCUCAAAUCCAUUCACCUUAUAAAAUCACACAGAAAAUGUACUGUACAUGUUGUUUUGUUCAUCAGGACAAUGGAGUUCACUGCACCAGGAAUCAGAGAGCUUUUAUCGUUGUCUUGGUCUGAGGGCCUGUCUUCAGUCUCCUGCUCUCCUUGCAGAGCCCCCACCAUGGAGCUCAGCGUCCCAAAGAUACCUGCAUAGUUCUCCACCUGUGCAGAAACACACAGGCUGACCUCUGACCCCUCCAGUUUGGGCAGGACCUCAGGCUGGGAGACAGGUGUGAUACUGUAACCUGUGCUCUGUACAGUAAUGCUGGACUGAAUGUGGCACAUAUGGAAAAUGCGUAAGGGGUAAUGUACAGUCAGUCAGUUGUUAUCGCAAAGUAAACCCGACAGGAUGAUCAGGAAAAGUAAAGUCUUGUAUCACACUGAAGGGGUUUAUUCUACAAUAACAACAAGUUGACUGUACAUUAUACUGCUUAUUACACGGCUACAUACCAAAUAUGUAAAUAAAUGGACAUAAAAUACUGAUUUGCAUUGAAAUUAUGUAAUUAUGUGGGAAAAAAGAAAUCGCUGAACAGCUGAUUUGCACCCCAGUUUGCGUUGGAGUUCUGUUGUUGUUUAUUUUGUAAAUAAUGACCAACCGGGUACGCGUUAUAUACAAGACUACUUGCCAAAUAAAUAAAUAGAUGGAAACGACACACUGAGUUGAGUAGACAUUUUUUGUUAGCUUACUUGUAGAGAUCACACCAUGAUCCGAGAAGUAGGAAAGAUGACUCGCAGUACCCGGAUGACCAGUCUGCUAUGUCUUAAUCCCAGGAUGUUAACAUCUGACAUAACAGACCGCUAGAUGGCGCCAUUCACCAAUCAGAAUCGAGUAUUCCAGAGAGCCGUGUAAUAAGCUGAAUUAAUAUAUUCUCAGCUUCAACAGAUAGUUCACUCAAAAAUAAAAAAUUCUGUCAUCAUUUACUCACAUUCAUGUUGUUUCAAACCCAUUUAAUGUUUUCUCUUCCAUGGAAGAAAGUCAUAUAGGUUUGGAAUGACAUGAGGGUGAAUAAAUGAUAACAGAAUUUUUAUUUUUGGGUGAACUAUCCCUUUAACAGUGAUAUUUUCUCACACAAUCCACUAACUUCUCCAAUAAUACAUACUGGGUAGUAAACGUAUGAUGGGAACAUUUAAUGUUUGUACUUUAUAUAUGUUGUAUAAAA